GACGAACGCUGGCGGCGUGCCUAAUACAUGCAAGUAGAACGCUGAAGCGAGGAGCUUGCUCUUCUUGGAUGAGUUGCGAACGGGUGAGUAACGCGUAGGUAACCUGCCUUGUAGCGGGGGAUAACUAUUGGAAACGAUAGCUAAUACCGCAUAACAAUGGAUGACACAUGUCAUUUAUUUGAAAGGGGCAAUUGCUCCACUACAAGAUGGACCUGCGUUGUAUUAGCUAGUAGGUGAGGUAAUGGCUCACCUAGGCGACGAUACAUAGCCGACCUGAGAGGGUGAUCGGCCACACUGAGACUGAGACCCGGCCCAGACUCCUACGGGAGGCAGCAGUAGGGAAUCUUCGGCAAUGGGGGCAACCCUGACCGAGCAACGCCGCGGGAGUGAAGAAGGUUUUCGGAUCGUAAAGCUCUGUUGUAAGUCAAGAACGGGUGUGAGAGUGGAAAGUUCACACUGUGACGGUAGCUUACCAGAAAGGGACGGCUAACUACGUG
RNAcentral lists this ribosomal RNA (497 nucleotides) under uncultured bacterium. RNAcentral describes it as "partial 16S ribosomal RNA". It matches the Rfam family "Bacterial small subunit ribosomal RNA", at positions 28 to 507 of the family's 1533-position model. The record is from RNAcentral.